GUGAGCAGACACUGUGACAAAAUGGGGACCUUCUCUCCCCUCCUUCGCUUAUGCCCUGGAAGGACCCCAGUCUACAAAGCUGAAAGAGGCAAAUAAUUCAACUCAGUCCUUUUCUGCCAACUGCUUCCCAGCAGGUUGGCCCCCAACAUGUACUGGUGCUUGGGGUUGAUCCUCCCCAGGUGCAGGACUUUUUGUCCUUUUCCUUGUUGAACUUCAUGAGAUUCCUGUCAGCCAGAUACAUAGGAUACAUAGAGUGAGAGAGACAGAUCAUGAUCAAGCUCCAAAAUGCAUGUGUGGUUUAAAAGGCCCAAUCCAGAACCAACAGUGGGUGGUAGGACCCCAGACUGUAGUGGCAUUGAGGCCACUAGGGAGAUGAGGAAUCAUUUAUCAGAGACAGAUGUGCCAUCCAGGGGCAUUGUAAAACACCAGGGGUUGCAUUUAGCUUUGUCUGUGGCCAGAAUUAACCUCAACCC
Molecule: long non-coding RNA, 473 nt
Organism: Harpia harpyja (harpy eagle)
Lineage: Eukaryota; Metazoa; Chordata; Aves; Accipitriformes; Accipitridae
Exons: 2
Source: RefSeq, a predicted model, not a curated record